This 482-nucleotide ribosomal RNA is filed under the name uncultured bacterium. RNAcentral describes it as "partial 16S ribosomal RNA". It matches the Rfam family "Bacterial small subunit ribosomal RNA", at positions 28 to 507 of the family's 1533-position model. The record is from RNAcentral.
GAUGAACGCUAGCGGCAGGCCUAAUACAUGCCAGUCGGACGGGAUUCAGGAGCUUGCUUCUGAUGAGAGUGGCGCACGGGUGCGUAACACGUAUGUAACCUACCUUUAUCAGGGGGAUAGCCUCUCGAAAGAGAGAUUAAGCCCGCAUAAAAUCACAGCACAGCAUUGUGUAAUGAUCAAAUAUUUAUAGGAUAAAGAUGGGCAUGCGGAACAUUAGCUAGAUGGCGGGGUAACGGCCCACCAUGGCGACGAUGUUUAGGGGAUCUGAGAGGAUGGCCCCCCACACCGGUACUGAGACACGGACCAGACUCCUACGGGAGGCAGCAGUAAGGAAUAUUGGUCAAUGGGCGGAAGCCUGAACCAGCCAUGCCGCGUGCAGGAAGACGGCCCUACGGGUUGUAAACUGCUUUUAUACGGGAAUAAACCCAGAUACGUGUAUCUGGCUGAAUGUACUGUAAGAAUAAGGAUCGGCUAACUCCGUG